UGAGGAAUAUUGCACAAUGGGGGCAACCCUGAUGCAGCAACGCCGCGUGGAGGAAGAAGGCCUUUGGGUCGUAAACUCCUUUUCUAUGGGACGAGAGAGGACGGUACCAUAGGAAUAAGUCACGGCUAACUACGUGCCAGCAGCCGCGGUAAUACGUAGGUGGCGAGCGUUAUCCGGAAUUACUGGGCGUAAAGCGCGAGCAGGCGGUCUUUUAAGUUUGACGUAAAAUCUCCUGGCUUAACUGGGAGGGGUCGUUGAAGACUGGGAGGCUUGAGGCGAUGAGAGGGGUGUGGAAUUCCCGGUGUAGUGGUGGAAUGCGUAGAUAUCGGGAGGAACACCAGAGGCGAAAGCGGCACCCUGGCAUUGGCCUGACGCUGAGAUGCGAAAGCGUGGGGAGCGAACGG
Molecule: ribosomal RNA, 404 nt
Filed under: uncultured organism
Description: bacterial SSU rRNA
Rfam family: Bacterial small subunit ribosomal RNA
Source: RNAcentral